GCCUGGGUGGCUCAGUCGGUUAAGCGUCCGACUUCAACUCAGGUCACGAUCUCGCGGUCCGUGGGUUCGAGCCCCGCGUCGGGCU
This is a non-coding RNA of Felis catus (domestic cat), 85 nucleotides long. Lineage: Eukaryota; Metazoa; Chordata; Mammalia; Carnivora; Felidae. The record is from Rfam.